GAUGAACGCUAGCGGCAGGCUUAACACAUGCAAGUCGAGGGGCGAGCACGGGUAGCAAUACCUGGUGGCGACCGGCGCAAGGGUGCGUAACGCGUGAGCAACAUGCCCUAUACAGGGGGAUAAUCCAGGGAAACUUGGUCUAAUAUCCCAUAGUAUUUAGAGGAGGCAUCUUCUAUAAAUUAAAGCUUCGGUGGUAUAGGAUUGGCUCGCGUGACAUUAGCUAGAUGGUGAGGUAACGGCUCACCAUGGCAAUGAUGUCUAGGGGUUCUGAGAGGAAGGCCCCCCACACUGGGACUGAGACACGGCCCAGACUCCUACGGGAGGCAGCAGUGAGGAAUAUUGGACAAUGGAUGGAAAUCUGAUCCAGCCAUGCCGCGUGCAGGAAGACAGCCCUAUGGGUUGUAAACUGCUUUUAAUAUGGGAGCAAUAAGGUCUACGUGUAGACUGACGAGAGUACCAUAUGAAUAAGCAUCGG
RNAcentral lists this ribosomal RNA (475 nucleotides) under uncultured bacterium. RNAcentral's name for it is "bacterial SSU rRNA". It matches the Rfam family "Bacterial small subunit ribosomal RNA", at positions 28 to 496 of the family's 1533-position model. The record is from RNAcentral.